This 1088-nucleotide long non-coding RNA is filed under the name Olea europaea subsp. europaea. The record is from RNAcentral. Lineage: Eukaryota; Viridiplantae; Streptophyta; Magnoliopsida; Lamiales; Oleaceae.
CUAUUCAACAAUGAAAAAUGUUGGUUGUACAGAACACUUCAGAGAGCACCAUUUCUCAAAAACCAAAGCAAAUUAGGGAAAUCCCAGCAUAAAAAAAUAACCUUUAACAAAUGACGCCAGUAAACGUGCUUUCAGCUUAGCCAAAAAUGCUCAAGCAGGUGUAUCCAAAAUUAUUUUCCAAACAAGCUUUAAGUUUAUCCAAGCAUGCUCAAGCAGUUCGAUCAAAUUGAAAAAGAGAAUUACAACCAAAUCCCCCAAGGAAGAAAGAGGAGGAGGCAGGAGGAAGAGUGGGGAGAGGAGGAGGAGCGGGAGGAGGAAAAGGAGGAGGAGAAGAAGCGGCAGCAGGGAGGAGGAAGAACAAGAACAAGAACAAGAACAAGAACAAGAAGAAGAAGAAGAAGAAGAAAAUGGAGGAGGAGAUGGAGGAGGAGUAGGAGUAGGAGUAGGACGAGAAGGAGGUGGAAAUGGAGGAGGAGUAGGAGGAGGAGGAGGAGGUGAAGGUGAAGGUGAAGAUAGAAGAAGAAGAAAAAGAAGAAAAAGAAGAAGAAGAAUAUUUCUCAAGGAUACAGAGAGGCUCCAGCAGCUCUUCUCUUUAGCUUUAUCAAUCUCUAUUUGAUGAUAAUCCACAGAGAUGAACAAACCAUGAAAAAUGCUACAAUCAAGAAAAAUUAUGCAUCAGAAGAGAGCAUUAACAGGGCAUAACUGAGAAAGAAUGGCUGAUGCUUCCAAUAAUCUCGAAAUAGUUAAAAAACACAAAAGGAAAUAAGAUAUGCAUCCGGCAAGACAAAACAAGACUGGCCUCCAAGGAUGAGGGCUCAAGAGGAAGGACAUAGAGAUGAUACCAUAAAAAAAUAAGCAAGAUAAGGUGGAAUUUAUCCUUACCAGUUACCGCCAAAACAAGGGAUCAUAGCUUUUAUCAUAUUAAUUACACCCUCACGGAUAGAGCAAUCCCCACGACUCGAGACAAUGAGAGAAUCUUAAAAUUAAACCGAAUUGCUUCCCAGUUUGAUUAUACAAAUUUUUAGUAAUUGAAAAUCUAUCAUGCACAAGUCAGAAAAUAAUUAUUAUAAUCUUUCCUUUAGUUUAAC